Molecule: ribosomal RNA, 384 nt
Filed under: uncultured Bicosoecida
Lineage: Eukaryota; Bigyra; Bicosoecida
Description: partial small subunit ribosomal RNA
Rfam family: Eukaryotic small subunit ribosomal RNA
Source: RNAcentral
GCUUGUCUCAAAGAUUAAGCCAUGCAUGUCUAAGUAUAAGCAUUAUACAGUGAAACUGCGAAUGGCUCAUUAUAUCAGUUAUAGUUUAUUUGAUAGUCCCUGCUAUUUGGAUAACCGUAGUAAUUCUAGAGCUAAUACAUGCACAAAGCACGCCUCACGGCGUGUGUAUUUAUUAGAUACAAUCGACCCUUCGGGUUUUGAUGAGUCAUAAUAACUGAACUAAGCGCAUGCAUUUGCGGCGCUGUUUCAUUCAAGUUUCUGCCCUAUCAGCUUUCGAUGGUAGGGUAUUGGCCUACCAUGGCGUUAACGGGUAACGGAGAAUUAGGGUUCGAUUCCGGAGAGGGAGCCUGAGAGAUGGCUACCACAUCCAAGGAAGGCAGCAGG